RNAcentral lists this ribosomal RNA (460 nucleotides) under uncultured bacterium. RNAcentral's name for it is "partial 16S ribosomal RNA". It matches the Rfam family "Bacterial small subunit ribosomal RNA", at positions 338 to 795 of the family's 1533-position model. The record is from RNAcentral.
CCUACGGGUGGCAGCAGUGAGGAAUAUUGGUCAAUGGCCGGAAGGCUGAACCAGCCAUGCCGCGUGAAGGUCAGUGCCCUAUGGGCGUUAAACUUCUUUUGUGCGGGAGCAAUAAUGGUCACGUGUGGCCCGACGAGAGUACCGUACGAAUAAGCAUCGGCUAAGGCCGUGCACGCAGCCGCGGUCAUACGGGGGAUGCAAGCGUUGUCCGGAUUUAUUGGGUUUAAAGGGUGAGUAGGCUGUGAGGUAAGUCAGCGGUGAAAUGCCCACGCGCAACGGGGUGAAGUGCCAUUGAUACUGCCGUGCUGGAAUGCGGAUGCGGUGGGAGGAAUGUGUGGUGUAGCGGUGAAAUGCAUAGAUAUCACGCAGAACACCGAUUGCGAAGGCAUCUCACGAAUCCGCGAUUGACGCUGAGGCACGAAAGCGUGGGUAUCAAACAGGAUUAGAUACCCGAGUAGUC